UGGCUGCAGUCGAGGAUCUUCGGCAAUGGGCGAAAGCCUGACCGAGCGACGCCGCGUGGACGAUGAAGGCCUUCGGGUUGUAAAGUCCUGUCGAGGGGGAUCAAGGCGCAAGCUUGAGUGAUCCCUGGAGGAAGCACGGGCUAAGUUCGUGCCAGCAGCCGCGGUAAGACGAACCGUGCAAACGUUAUUCGGAAUCACUGGGCAUAAAGGGCGCGUAGGCGGCUUCAUAAGUCAGGGGUGAAAUCCGGCAGCUCAACUGUCGCAGUGCCUUUGAUACUGUGAAGCUCGAGGGAUGUAGGGGUCUGUGGAACUUCCGGUGGAGCGGUGAAAUGCGUUGAUAUCGGAAGGAACGCCGGUGGCGAAAGCGACGGACUGGACAUUUUCUGACGCUGAGGCGCGAAAGCCAGGGGAGCAAACGGGAUUAGAUACCCCGGUAGUCCUGGCCCUAAACGAUGGGUACUAGAUUGCGGACUUACAUGGGUUCGCAGUCGAAGCUAAUGUUUUAAGUACCCCGCCUGGGGAGUAUGGUCGCAAGGCUGAAACUCAAAGGAAUUGACGGGGGCUCACAC
This 569-nucleotide ribosomal RNA is filed under the name uncultured Planctomycetota bacterium. RNAcentral's name for it is "bacterial SSU rRNA". It matches the Rfam family "Bacterial small subunit ribosomal RNA", at positions 346 to 926 of the family's 1533-position model. The record is from RNAcentral. Lineage: Bacteria; Pseudomonadati; Planctomycetota.